UGGGGAAUAUUGGACAAUGGGCGCAAGCCUGAUCCAGUAAUGCCGCGUGAGUGAUGAAGGCCUUCGGGUUGUAAAGCUCUUUCGCACGCGACGAUGAUGACGGUAGCGUGAGAAGAAGCCCCGGCUAACUUCGUGCCAGCAGCCGCGGUAAUACGAAGGGGGCUAGCGUUGUUCGGAAUUACUGGGCGUAAAGGGCGCGUAGGCGGUGUGUCAAGUCAGGCGUGAAAGCCCCGGGCUCAACCUGGGAACCGCGCUUGAGACUGGCACGCUAGAGUUCGGGAGAGGAUGGUGGAAUUCCCAGUGUAGAGGUGAAAAUUCGUAGAUAUUGGGAAGAACACCGAUGGCGAAGGCAGCCAUCUGGACCGACACUGACGCUGAGGCGCGAGAGCGUGGGGAGCAAAACAGGAUUAGAUACCCUGGUAGUCCACGCCGUAAAACGAUGAGUGCUAGACGUUGGGGCCCUCAGGGCUUCGGUGUCGCAGCUAAAC
This 488-nucleotide ribosomal RNA is filed under the name uncultured Pseudomonadota bacterium. RNAcentral describes it as "bacterial SSU rRNA". It matches the Rfam family "Bacterial small subunit ribosomal RNA", at positions 355 to 857 of the family's 1533-position model. The record is from RNAcentral. Lineage: Bacteria; Pseudomonadati; Pseudomonadota.